Molecule: ribosomal RNA, 328 nt
Filed under: uncultured eukaryote
Lineage: Eukaryota
Description: partial 18S ribosomal RNA
Rfam family: Eukaryotic small subunit ribosomal RNA
Source: RNAcentral
CCCUUAGAUGUCCUGGGCCGCACGCGCGUUACUCUGAUGCAUUCAACGAGCUUAUAACCUUGGCCGAGAGGCCUGGGCAAUCUUGUUAACGUGCAUCGUGAUAGGGAUAGAUUAUUGAAAUUAUUAAUCUUGAACGAGGAAUUCCUAGUAAACGCAGAUCAUCAAUCUGCAUUGAUUACGUCCCUGCCCUUUGUACACACCGCCCGUCGCACCUACCGAUUGGAUGGUCCGGUGAAGCCUCGGGAUUGUGGUUCUUGCCGCUUUAUUGUGGCGUGACCGCGAGAACUUGUCUAAACCUUAUCAUCUAGAGGAAGGUGAAGUCGUAACA